Long non-coding RNA from Budorcas taxicolor (takin), 2173 nucleotides. RefSeq lists it as uncharacterized. NCBI's taxonomy places the organism in Eukaryota, Metazoa, Chordata, Mammalia, Artiodactyla, Bovidae. The record is from RefSeq and is a predicted model, not a curated record. The transcript is spliced from 12 exons.
GUUGCUGCCACUGCUUUUUGGAUCACUGAGUAUGGUACGCCUUCGCCUGCCGCAAAACGUGUCAUGGAUUUCGGCUUUGCUGGGAAUCCCUGAGUGGCUGUGAAGUUGCCAGGUAUGACUGUCCGUCACCCAGGAGAUGAAGCCCCGCCCAUGAGGCAGUGACUCAAGGUGCAGGGGAGUCCGGCGAGAAGUGUGGCAUGCCCAAAUUGCUGCCACUGCUUUUUGGAUCACUGAGCACGGCAGAUUGAGUUGCCCAGGAUGGAAGACCAUUGUCAACAGGGAACCCGUCACACAUUCUGUGAAUCCCAGCCUGGUGAGACAAGGAGCAUGAGCCCCUGGGGGCCAUUGUGCAUGCAGCCCUUGGGUUUACAGAUGGAAUACCCAUGGAGGCCAGGUUGAGUGGCCCAAGAUGCAAAACUGUUGGCAACAGGUUACCCAUCGCAUAUUCCAUGAUAGCCAGCCUCUCAAGAUGAAUCUCACGAAUCCCCAGAGGCAACUGGACAAGUGGCCCUUGAGUGUACAGAUGGAACAACCAUGGCGUUGCCUUGAGUAUGCCAGGAUGGAAGACUGUUUGCAACAGAGAACUCGUCGCAUAUUCCAUGACAACUGUUCUGGCAAGACGAGGCCUGUGAGCCCCCAGAGGCUUCUGGGCAAUUGGUCCUUCGAUGUACAGGUGGAUCACCCAUGGCGCCAGAUUGAGUGGCCCAGGAUGGAAGACCAUUGGCAUCAGGGACCCAUCACAUAUUCCAUGACUCCCAGCGUGGAAAGUCGAGGCCUACGAGCUGCCACAGGCCACUGGACACGCGGCCCGUGAUGGUACAGGAGGAACACCAAUGGCUGUGCAUUUGGAGUAUUAGGAAGGACAACAGUGGCAGAUGUAUGGACCAUCCAACAGUUUUCCUCUCCCAUAAUCGGUUUCCUUUGUGGCGGAACUCCAGAUCCACAAGAGGUCCUUGUUAAACCUUUCUUGCAUCUUCUGAAUCCUUGUCUCCAGGCUAUUUAUCUGUGAUUCGAUUUUGAUUUCAAGAUUUUGGAUCAUUUUCACUAUCAUUAUUUGGAAUUCUUUAUCAGACUGGAAGUGAUGUUAGAGAGAAGGGACAUUUUGCUGCUUGGAAUUCCACUGCCACUCCAAAGAAGUGCUGUUUUCGUCACUUGUACGAGUUCCUUUUUCUGGGAAAAUUCACAGCAAUGCUUUCUAGAGACUGACAUGUUCCAAAAACUAGGUUUCCUGUGGAUGAGCUUAUUCCUUCCCCUUGAGAUGAGACAUAAAGAAAAGUGUUAGGAAUAAUUCUGCCUCCAUCCUCAAAGGCCUGUGUGAAUUCUCACAAAGAAGAUGACUUCCUGGGAGCUCUUUUGGUCAUGAACGAUACCAGUAAACCCCUGAAGGAAGACUCUUCAGACAGAGCCCUUUUGCCUCCCUCUUGUCUGAGGGCUGCCUCUGAAGGUGAUGACCACAGAGACAAGGUGGAUUUGUUACUAUAGGUGCCAUUACUUCUGCCACCAGCUUCUCCAAUACAGUGACAGUCUUCUUUGUGCAUGGAAACUCUUCUCUUUCCUGUGUUGCAGUGGAUACCUCCUGCAGAUAAGAAAUGGUUAACUGAGAAAUGCUCAUGUUGGGAUAUCAUCGAUGAGACUUUAAUUUGGGCAUGGUGACUGUUUCCCUUGCUUCCACUUGACUCAAUCCCAGGAGCCUCAGUAGAGGAAAUUAUAUUGCACAAGUGAUGGAAUUGCUCAGUACUCCCAUAAAUAUACAUUUAUAAUUUUCAUUUGCCAUGUAGUAAAUUAAAAAAAUAAGAUCUAUUAAUUUUUUUUUCAAAAACUCAAAGCAUAUCUAAACAUCUAAUAUAUAAAUUAAGUGCCCUUUUCUCUCCUAUCUCCAAGUUUUCCUCUAUUAAGGGAGUUGUGUGCCUUCUUUAAGCAGAUAGAUGCACACACACACAGACACAAGCUAUUUUAGGGGGUUCUGGAAGUAGAGCUAUAUUGUACACAUUAUUCUGCAAAUUUGCUUUCAUUUAACAGUUUUUUCAAUGCCCUUUUUUCUGUUUCAGUAAUACAUAUCUGUGUCAUCUGUUGAAUGACUGCAUGAUUGUUUUGUACAUGAAAUAUAAUCAAAUGUUUCAAACAUUUCUUAUUCAUAGAUAUUUAUGUUAGUACCAAAAAUUUCUGUGCAAUG